This 275-nucleotide long non-coding RNA is filed under the name Elaeis guineensis (African oil palm). RNAcentral describes it as "long non-coding RNA (EGUI_LNC044061)". The record is from RNAcentral. Lineage: Eukaryota; Viridiplantae; Streptophyta; Magnoliopsida; Arecales; Arecaceae.
AAUCAUUUUUAAGGACCUAAUAAUUUUUGAGGAUUUUAUUAAAGGAUAGAUGAGAAGAAAAAAUCCAGCCAAUUUUAAUCCUCCCACUGACUUCAUCAAGUCAGAUUAAAAAAGAUUUAAUUAAAGCUGGCAUUAGGAGCACCUAAAUCAGUCAAACUGAUUUACCUAAUGACAUGGGUGAGCCCUAAUCAUCAAGUGAUCUAAUCAAAACCUAAUUCACCAGGUUGGCCAGGUAAGUGAGAUCAGUGGUGGGGAUAAGCCAUUAACUCGUCAGA